GUGCUCGCCUCGGCAGCACAUAUACUAAAAUUGGAAUGAUAGAGAGAUUAGCAUAGCCCCUGUGCAAGGAUGACAUGCAAAUUCGUGAAGCGUUCCAUAUUUUA
RNAcentral lists this small nuclear RNA (104 nucleotides) under Myotis davidii. Lineage: Eukaryota; Metazoa; Chordata; Mammalia; Chiroptera; Vespertilionidae. The record is from RNAcentral.